CCUACGGGGGGCAGCAGUGAGGAAUAUUGGUCAAUGGACGAGAGUCUGAACCAGCCAAGUAGCGUGAAGGAUGACUGCCCUAUGGGUUGUAAACUUCUUUUAUAUGGGAAUAAAACGUUCCACGUGUGGGAUUUUGUAUGUACCAUAUGAAUAAGGAUCGGCUAACUCCGUGCCAGCAGCCGCGGUAAUACGGAGGAUCCGAGCGUUAUCCGGAUUUAUUGGGUUUAAAGGGAGCGUAGGUGGAUUGUUAAGUCAGGUGUGAAAGUUUGCGGCUCAACCGUAAAAUUGCAGUUGAAACUGGCAGUCUUGAGUACAGUAGAGGUGGGCGGAAUUCGUGGUGUAGCGGUGAAAUGCUUAGAUAUCACGAAGAACUCCGAUUGCGAAGGCAGUUCACUGGACUGCAACUGACACUGAGGCUCGAAAGUGUGGGUAUCAAACAGGAUUAGAUACCCCAGUAGUC
Molecule: ribosomal RNA, 460 nt
Filed under: uncultured bacterium
Lineage: Bacteria
Description: partial 16S ribosomal RNA
Rfam family: Bacterial small subunit ribosomal RNA
Source: RNAcentral